This 421-nucleotide ribosomal RNA is filed under the name uncultured Flavisolibacter sp. RNAcentral's name for it is "bacterial SSU rRNA". It matches the Rfam family "Bacterial small subunit ribosomal RNA", at positions 355 to 774 of the family's 1533-position model. Lineage: Bacteria; Pseudomonadati; Bacteroidota; Chitinophagia; Chitinophagales; Chitinophagaceae. The record is from RNAcentral.
UAAGGAAUAUUGGUCAAUGGACGCAAGUCUGAACCAGCCAUGCCGCGUGAAGGAUGAAGGUCCUCUGGAUUGUAAACUUCUUUUAUAUGGGACGAAACCCCUUUUUCUUGAGGGACUGACGGUACCAUAGGAAUAAGCACCGGCUAACUCCGUGCCAGCAGCCGCGGUAAUACGGAGGGUGCAAGCGUUAUCCGGAUUCACUGGGUUUAAAGGGUGCGUAGGAGGGCAGGUAAGUCAGUGGUGAAAUCUCCGAGCUUAACUUGGAAACUGCCGUUGAUACUAUCUGCCUUGAAUAUUGUGGAGGUGAGCGGAAUAUGUCAUGUAGCGGUGAAAUGCUUAGAUAUGACAUAGAACACCAAUUGCGAAGGCAGCUCGCUACGCAUAUAUUGACUCUGAGGCACGAAAGCGUGGGGAUCAAACA